RNAcentral lists this long non-coding RNA (970 nucleotides) under Homo sapiens (human). RNAcentral's name for it is "HSALNT0126256". Lineage: Eukaryota; Metazoa; Chordata; Mammalia; Primates; Hominidae. The record is from RNAcentral.
AGCAGCACUCAGCUAAAAGGAAGACUCACAGAACACAGUUGAAGAAGGAAAGUGGCGAUGGACCUCAUCCCAAAUUUGGCGGUGGAAACCUGGCUUCUCCUGGCUGUCAGCCUGGUGCUCCUCUAUCUGAUGAGAGUCCCCAAAUCAGCGAAGAGUCCACUUACUAAACAGACAUAAGGAAAUGAAGUGUCCUGGAAGAAUUCCUGCCUGAACCUCUCAGGAGCAUUUGAGGACAUUUAUCAAGUAUUCACUCCAGGAUUGGGACUAUGAAGACUUCAGCUGCUUUCAGCUAAUCAUUGAGACUUUUCAGGGGUCUCAGAAUAGUCAGGAAAGGACCUGAUGAGUGAAUGCAAUUACUGAUGUUGGAGUUGCUGUUAUUAUUUAUCGUGUACAUAUUACCUCCCUCUCUUGACCAUUCCAGUUCCUGAGUAACUCACCAGCCCUCUGAUCUAUAAAGUCACAAUCCCUGUGACCUGAUUUCUGUUUCACUUUGUAGAUAUGGGACCCGUACACAUGGACUUUUUAAGAGACUGGGAAUUCCAGGGCCCACACCUCUGCCUUUGUUGGGAAAUGUUUUGUCCUAUCGUCAGGGUCUCUGGAAAUUUGACACAGAGUGCUAUAAAAAGUAUGGAAAAAUGUGGGGUAUCUCUUCCCUGUUUGGACCACAUUACCCUUCAUCAUAUGAAGCCUUGGGUGGCUCCUGUGUGAGACUCUUGCUGUGUGUCACACCCUAAUGAACUAGAACCUAAGGUUGCUGUGUGUCGUACAACUAGGGGUAUGGAUUACAUAACAUAAUGAUCAAAGUCUGGCUUCCUGGGUGUGGCUCCAGCUGCAGAAUCGGGCUAGUGAAGUUUAAUCAGCUCCGUUGUCCCCACACAGAACGUAUGAAGGUCAACUCCCUGUGCUGGCCAUCACAGAUCCCGACGUGAUCAGAACAGUGCUAGUGAAAGAAUGUUAUUCUGUCUUCACA